CCGGUCUUGGUGGAAACACGGCAGACACGCCAGCCUCAGGAGCUGGUGCCAGCAAUGGCAUUGCGGGUUCGACUCCCGCAGACCGGACCA
Molecule: transfer RNA, 90 nt
Filed under: Paraburkholderia caledonica
Lineage: Bacteria; Pseudomonadati; Pseudomonadota; Betaproteobacteria; Burkholderiales; Burkholderiaceae
Also listed under: 2 other names
Description: tRNA-Leu
Rfam family: tRNA
About the family: Transfer RNA (tRNA) molecules are approximately 80 nucleotides in length. Their secondary structure includes four short double-helical elements and three loops (D, anti-codon, and T loops).
Source: RNAcentral